Molecule: long non-coding RNA, 705 nt
Organism: Cyprinus carpio (common carp)
Lineage: Eukaryota; Metazoa; Chordata; Actinopteri; Cypriniformes; Cyprinidae
Exons: 4
Source: RefSeq, a predicted model, not a curated record
GCAAGCGCAGCAUCACGCGCUUCCAGUUGGAAUGCACGCGAGGGACGUAAUAUAUAAAUACAAAGAUAGCAACAGCUGCAGAGGAGAUCUCACAAAACACUGAGACACCAGUGUCUUUCAAAGCGCAAGGAAAACCAGUAUAGACCCUGGAAACUGAGCUUAAUUGAUCUGCAGUGCUGUGAGUAUCAAGGGAGAGAUCGAUGUGUGAUAGCAAAGCAGAGGUCUAAAAUACCCAGCCCGCAACCCAGCACUAUGUCAUUGUAUUGAACAUUUAACAUAAUGUUACAUGAUAGACGUUAUACCUUUAUAGCUCUCCUGAUUUGCCUUCUUCAGGUCAGGUGUUCUGACAGAACACCAUACCCAUCAGAAGGGUAUUCCUGCACAACCGGAGGCUGCAGUUUCAGGACCGCAGUUCUAGGACUGCAGUUCUAGGACCCUAGUUUUUUUUUUUUGUGACAGCGCCACCUACCGUACUGGAUCAACACUAAUUAAAGAUGGACGACAUGGACAGCAAUCAGACGGCCAUCAUAUAUGCCCUGGCUGCCCUCCGGAAUUUGUCCUUGCAGGAGGCUGAGCAGGUCUUCCUUUCUGGUCCAGAUUAUCAUUUCAGUGAAGUGGAAGAACUUAAUAGAAAGAUUGACAAACAAUUGAGGAAAGAAGGGAGAUCAUUCAAUUGAGUUGAAGCCUACAGCCAUUCUAUCCUUG